GGUCACAACGAAGAACUUUCUCGAAAUCGAAAUAGUUCUGUUUCACUAUGCUACUCUCGAAUGGUGGUACGAGGCUAGGGAAUAUACUCCUUUCAAAGGAUCAAAAGGUAAGCGGCUUCGGUCAGAGGGUAUAAUCGAUUGAGUCCGGAAAGGUCCUUCGAAGGGACAUCCAAUGGUUCGUGCGGAUCGUGAGUCAAAGUGAAAUUUUUACUUUAAUGAGGGUAUAUUCCUUUGUAAGAAAGAAGAUUUCUUCGCGGAAUCUUUUUUGAUUACAUCUUGUUCCACCCUCAGAAGAAUUCAAAGCAGUCGAAAAGGGAAAAUGGAGAUCAAUCCUAACGUUAACAGUGUUCUUGGAUAUCGAACUAAUGUUAAUUUGGAUAGCAUUUAGUUAGAAAGUUAUAUAUACCGUAAUAAUAUUUAUUUCAAUGCCAUGAGUGAGAUUAGGAACGGCAAAGAAAAUAUUAAGGCGACUUAUUCCAAAAAAUAUUUGCGAAUCCAUGUCGAAGAUGAAGAAGAAGAAAAAGGUGAUACAGGGGAUGAAGAAGUCGAAGGGAGCGAUCGAUAAAGUUGAAGCAAAAGACCAUGUUGCAAUACGCAGAUAUCCAAAGUCGAUUAUACCAUAUGAUAAUUAAAAAGGGAAAAAUAUUCAUCGAGAAAUCAAUUUCCCCUUAAUCCAUGUCCCACUAGGCUCUUUCGGCUCGUUAGAUCGCGUAAUAGUAAAUUUUAAUCGACUUACAUAAAUCGUGUUCAAAUGAAAUACGUAAAAGAGAAAAAGAUAAUAUUACGAAAAAAAAAUUGUCUUCUCUGAAUACAAUCUUCAUUACAACGUCAUAAAAAAAGAGAGAUAUGUAAAAAAAGAGAGUGUUAACUUAAGUAAUAGAAGAAGAAUAGAAAAUAAUAUUACGAAAAAAAUUGUCAAACAAUAUUUUUUACUCAAAAUUAAUUUUUAUUGAUAUAUACUUUUAACGUCAAGAACAGGAAGAAAUUUUCAAAAUUCUUUAGUUAACUUCUAAUUUCAGACUGUGAAAAGUAGGAACGAAAGAAGAACAUAGAAAAAAAGAAUAAUUAUUCAUCGAAUCAAUAAAUAUCAAUAGAGAAAUUCAUUUCCUCAGAGCUUAUGACCUUUUCGGUUCUUUCAAUCGUAUGAUAGAAAAUAUUGAUUAACCUACAUAAAACCCUGUGCAGAGGGUUCCCUCCUGGUCGUUAGGUAAACUACCCAAAGCGAUUUGUGGGGUAUGAAUUGCCUGUAAGAAUAUGGCGAUAAAGCUGUGCGUCAUUCCUUCGGAAUUUGUCGAACUAGAAAUACGUGAGCGAGUGUCGUACAAGAAAUAUUUGUUACGUGUGUACUUCAUACGUUCCAAAGGGUAGUUUUACAAGGAGUUCAAGCGGUGGAAACAAUUUCUUCGUUUUCACUAGUCUUGUGUUUCUGUUAUCAAUAGAUAUACUAAAGGAAACGAAGGCGGAGGCAGGAAAAGUUCCAAUAGCCUGCAAGUAUUACAAAGGCCCGAGUUGACUGAUAUUUGAAUUAUAAUUCCAAAGAAGAUAUAUGAAAUUUCACUAUCUCGUGUUAAUGAAGUAUUCUAUAUCCGAAGUGAAACAUAUUUACUUUGGCCUGUUCUUCCUUAUAUCCGGCGAUAAAUCCUACAUGGAUAGUACAAAUGCAAUCAACCAGAUUAUGAUAUGAAAAGUUCCUUUUUCUUCUUAUAUUUAAGUGGAAGAUCAGUGAAUGGUUUGUUUAUCGAAUUUUAGAGAUACGAUUUUAUGAUAGCGACGAUAAUAUUUCUAUUAAUGAGUUGGACAUUAAGUCACUUAACUCUAGCUGUCAUAUAUGUAUUAUAUUAAUGUGUAUAAUUCAAGAACCCAUAUAUUUUUCACCUUUGUAAAGAAGAAUAUUUGAUAUGGGAAGCAAGAUGUUCGAUGAAAGAGAGGAGAUCGUAAAAGGGGCGGAGGUAGCUGACUCUGCUCACGAAUUUAUUAAAAAACUUGUAAAUGAUAUGGAACCCAAGUUGAUGAGAGAGGCACCAAAUUAUCCGACGUAUAGAAGUAAACAUGUUGCUACUGGUAGAGCAUUACUCUAGCAACCAUCGACAUCAAUAUUGAAUUUUAAUAAACGAGAGCGCAUUGGAUCGUGAAAUUAGAAGAGCGGUUCAAGAUGCAGAUAGAAUUUUAACCAAGGAAGGAACAUCGUUAGCGAUAGUUCAUAUAUGCAUUAUGUGAUUGGGAAUACCUAGGAAGAAGAAAAAGAAGAAAAAACAUUUGUGCUUGACGACGAAGUUUGGAAAGACCAUUAGGGCGUUAGUUUAUAAAGCGUCGGAAGGUAGUACGAGGAAAUGGGAGGGAUUUACUUCUCCCAAAGGAUCCAAACGGAUCGUACGAUGUUCCAUGCGGGUCAUGGAUCGAAGGGGAAUGGAAAUGAAACUGAGGGAGGUUUAUCAUACAAAAUAAUUCAACAUACAGGGACGAAUAAAAGAUUCAACAUUUUUGGAAAUAAUAACGAUAGCAGGAGUAUACUUUUAAAUUAUACGUGAAAUAAAAAGUCCACGUUCGCAUCAUCGUUAUUCCAUCGAUUUAAAUUAAGUAACAGUUCGCUACAAUUAAAAAAGGAGAAAUGUUGAAUCCCAUAUUUCAAAUUGUUUGUCAUCAUAUUCACGACAUGUAGUUAAAAAAUAUUCGUAAUAUUUUAUUAGCGUUUUUCAUAAAUAUUAUAUAUAUACACACGGUGAGAUGAACGUACCCCGAAUAUUUAACGCAAAAUUUAUGUUUUCCCGAGCUAACAGCACAAUUUCAAUAGGAAACAUCAGUGAAACACGGAUUUCCCAAACAGUAGCAGUGCAAACACUCGAUCCGCCCAAAUCACUCACUAACUGUGUGGUUCUCUCGAAGAGGAAAUACGUGAAACAGACGAUAGUGAGAUGGGGAAAUAAAGAAAUAUGAGAAGAGAUUUUCUCCGAAUACAUUUUUUCUAUUAUCGUGCAAUAAUGGAAAUGAAUUCUAGGAUAACUUAAGCAACAUAUAUAUGUUUACAAGAUAAGAAGGCGAUAUUUGAAGGAAAUGUUUUUAAGGAAAAUGGAAGUAGAUGUAACUUCCUACGAAAAAAUUGUUUUACAACACAAUAUUUUACAAUACGAAGUACAUAGUUCGAAAAUUGUAAUAUCAGUAAUACCAAAUAAUAUUAGAACACUAUUUUUGAGUACAACUUGAACUUACGAAAGAUGAUACAUUACAUAUUUCGUAUAUGAUAUUACGAUUACUUUCUAAAAAUUAAUGUUGAUAAUUACAAUAAUUAUUAUUUUUGAUAUUAUUAUUAAAAUAAUUUGAAAUUAUUAAUACAGAAAUCGUUAAUAAUAAUUAAUUAUAUUAUAAAUAAUUACAGUUUUAUGUGCAUAUUGCAAUUAAAAAAGAGAAAAAUAACUGUCAAUUUCGUAAGAAGAUUCCAAGUUUUAUGACAUAAUUUUUCAAGUGCAUAAAGGAAAUAAAAAUAUAACAACAUAGUUACAGGAGAGGGGAAAUUUUUCAUCCCCAAACUAGAAAAUUAAAAUCUAGGAAUCUUGGUCUUCUAACGAGAUGACGUGGGAUUAAUUUAACCAGGGGAAGUCAUUCCUUCCGUGAUUUUCGACCCAGUAAUACGCAAGUAUAUGUUAUACGCGAAAUAAUCCCUAGCUCUCAUACGUCCGAAAGACGAGCUUUAUAAGUAAUAAAAACCAUUGAAACACCAUUAUCACUAGUCAUUCUAUUAUUGUAUCAAUAUACUUUAAAUUCAGCAGUAGCCAUUUGUAUAAGAUUUAUUAGAAAAUUUCAUUGCUAUAUUAUAGAAGUUACCGGAUAAGUACUCCACUUUGGGUUUCCUACCAUUUGGAAUAUUGGUGAUAAGUUCACUUAUAAAUAAAAAUACUUUCUUCGGCUGCAUAUAAUCUACGAAAAUAUUAAUAAAUUAUUAUAAGAUAUAUAGAUAUGAUAUAGAUUUCAUAUUCCACAUUACAUUUUAGAAUAAAAAAUAUAUCUUAUCUCUAAAAUAUCUUACCAUUCAAUAAAUACAGCAUUGAUUGAUUUUACAUUUAAACAUAAAUGUAAAAAGGAAAAUGUUUUCGUAAAUUAAUCUCGUUGAUGGUCUGGCUUGAUUUGAAUUAUCCAUAUAGAGCGUAUCGUCGGAUGUACGGAAGAACAGAAAGUGUCAAUGCAAAUGUGUUUCACUUUGGAUGUGCAAUGGUGGAGCGUAGUUGAACUUUUCGUAUCUACUUUGGAAUUGCAAUUCAAAUAUAAGUGAAUUCGGCUCCUUUGCAAUACAUUGAGACUAUUGGAACUGCUUUCGUCUUCGGUUGGUUUAAUAUAUCUCUGAAACAAAAUAAGAUUCGUAGAUUAGUUAAGACUUACGGAAGCCAUUCAAUUGUUCAUCUAAUUGUAUUGUUUAGGAAAAUAAAUGUUGUUACAGCCAUUUAAGUGAUAUAAAGUAACUUUUCCGAAAGGCAACAAACAAUAAUUUAGAUAUUAUUAAUCACGAAAAUCAAUUUCAUUUCCAUAAUACAAAAUUGAAAUUUUAUAAUAAAUCACGAAGUAAUCAUUACUAACAAAUUUACCUUAUAUUGAUAGCUUAAACAAAUGACUAGUAAGAAUGAAGAAAUUGCUUCAACCGCCUGAAUUACUUAUAUAACUGAUCCCUGGGACGUAUGAAGUAUGCACGAACGAAUAUUUGUUGUACCACACUCGCUGGCGUAUUACUAGUUCGACAAGCACCGAAGGAAUGAGAUGAACAUGAAUGAACAGAUUCAUCGCCGUCCGCCGAACGGCGGUAUUAUACCCCGCCCAGUCCCUUGAUUUGCUGAUCGAUCGAACACUAUGGCGCCCUCUGCACAGGAUUAUUACACUUGACGUAGAUUAAUAAAUAUAUCCAAAGAACCAAGAUGGUCAUACGCUACCAGGAAAUGAAUUUCUUUCGUAUCUUUUUUCCCCUCCUUCUCUUUACAAUUUCAAAUUAGAAAUUAAUUACAGAAUUCUGAAAAUUGACUAAUAUGUUUCUGCCUGUAUUUGUCGUUAAAAAGAUUUAUCUUUAAGUGUUAAUUUCGAGCAAACAAUAUUGAUGGACAAUUUUUUUUGUAAUUUUACUUUCUGUUCUUUUUCUAUUAUUUAAGAUAACCAUCACUUUCUUACACAUCUGUCUUUUUUUAUAACGCAAUAGGAAAGAAUAUGGAUUACGAGAAAAUCAUUUGUCACUUUUCUUUCCUAAUAUCAACUUCAUCUCUUUUACGUAUUUUAUUUGGACACCAUUUACGUAAGACAAUCAAAAUUUCCUAUUACGCGAUUGAACGACUCGGAAAGGCAUAAUUGGAUUUGGAAAUGAAUUUCUUGAUGAAUAUUAAUGUAACGAUAGAUAGAUUUAUUGCAGGGUCAUCCGGCGUUGCAUGCGGAACAUGGAUCAAAAAAACUUGAAAUGCACGUGAGUGAGGUAUAUUUUGCAAAAUGAUUCAACACGUAAGGACGAUCAAUAGCUUCGCCGUUGUUCGGGAUAUUAGUUUUAGCCAGGGAAUACUUUUAAAUUAUGCGUCGAAUAUUCAAUGUACGUUCGCGUGACCAUGUCAAAGUUAUACCAGUUUUAAUAAUUUUUUAGUAUAAUUCAAGAGAGAAGAAACGUUAAAAUCAUGGUUCCAAAUUGGUUAUCACAAUAUUCACGACACGGACUUAAAUAAUAUUCAUAAUAUUUAAUAUACAUCUUUAGUAAUAUAGGGAUUUGGACCAAUUAAUUUGCUGCAUAGCACGAAUUCUCAUGUUAAUGAAUGUUUCGAGGUAUAAUGAUUUGCAGGUGCAUGAUACGUUCUCCCAUACUUAUCGUCAAAUACCUUCAUACUGAAUCUAUUAUUAUUAUCUCUCUCCAAAGACCUAUAUUGAAAUGUGAUUUAUACGAAUUAUUUAUUUAUUAUCCGUUUUCAGGAGAAUUAAUAAUGUGAAUUGAAAUUAUAGAAACAUUCUCUUAUAUAGUAUCAUAUAAGAAUAUAUGUACUUAAUUUUAAUUUUUCUUGAAUUACUUUAAAUUUAUUUUUUAAUCUUCUCCUUAUUAAUAAAUUUAAACAAAAAAUCGUUAAAAAAAGAGGGACGAAACAUUUAUCUGCAGCCGAGUUUACACAUAUCCAUACAAGGCAAAUAUAUGAAAAUAUGAAAUCGAUAUCGGAUGGUACACUUUUCAGAUGUAUAUUCCUCCGCUUUUUUUCUUAAUAUCUUCUUUUUUUUAUAUAAAUUUUUGGUUUGAUUACAUUUUAUCUUUUAAUUUGCUUUAUUAUUAUAUUUUAAAUCAUAUGCCUGAUAAUUCACAAAUAGAUAUAGAUACUUCAUCAAUAUGUGGACGAAUAUAUAAAUAAAUAAGAAAAUAAAUGUUAUUAGAUUUUAGUACAUAGUGAUAUAUAUAUAUAUAUAUAUAUAUAUAUAUAUAUAUAUAUAUAUAUAUAUGUAUAUAGAGAUGGUAUAUGUAAAAAUAAAGAAGAUUCCUUUUAUUAACGUAACAUAUACAAGAAAAAAUAUAUAAGUUUAUCGCUAAAGUAAUUUUAAACAAAAUGUAAUGAACUUACGAAGGAGUAGUGAAAUUAGUUUUAUUUCAGUCCGUUAAUAAUUAUGUCCUAUAAGACUGGAUGAAUAGAAACAAUUAGCCCUAACUAAUGCAUUGAGAUUGAUAGAUCGGAAUAAAAAAAAUUCAAAUAUGAUUUAUGUUAUCGACAGCAUGUUGUAAAAAAUGAUAUAGAUGAUAUAUCCCAAUAUCGUAGGUUUUAAACUUAUAUUUUAUUCUGGAUCUCCUCCUUCUUGAUCUCUCAGAAACUUGCUUAGACGAAUUGAUUUAUAAUAAACAGCUUCUACUGCCAUUGAAAAAUGUCAUAACUUCAAGUAUCGAAUCACCAUGGUUUUUCUUCUCCACCAUUUAUUUUGGUUCCAACUAUUCUUCAUAAAUUGAUAAGAUAUGUCAUCUCCCAUAACUUUAUCACUAUGUUACCAAUAAUUUUGGAUCGAUCUUACCGUAAAGGGAAUGUUUCUGUUUGCUUCUAUCUUUCUUUAUUCCUUUUGAAUGUUUUUUUUCCAUUUAAUUCCUCUAUUCUUCAUUCUCCAUACACUUAUCUUUUCGAACAUUUCACAUUGUAAAAAUCGAAUUGUGUUAAUCUUAUUUCCGAGGAGGAAAUUUUCUUUAGCAUUCAAUUAAACAUAUUUAUUUAUUUUCUUCGACGACCUUAUCAAGAACCAUUCAUGACCUUAAUAAGAAAGUAGAACUCAAAAUACUGUAUUUAAAAGGAAUGGCAAUCUCAUGCAAAAGCUGCUUUUCUACGAUAUUUAUAAAUUAUAUUUUGCGCAAUACGGAUCGGUUCAUGGAAUAACGAUGAAUAGAAAGAAGUAUUACAGAUCUUUACUAUUCUCGGGGAAGUAUAAUAUAAAUGAUUAUUAUAAGUAGGCUUAUUGAGAUAUUUAACCAUUCGAGUAAAAUAUUAGAAAAAUACUAAGUAAAUAAGAAAUAUUAUAUUACUAGAAAUAUAAUGAUUUCGUUGCUAUACUCGGUUAUAGGUAAGGAGAAAGGAACGAAUCCAGAAAGAUAAUAUUUUCCGUGGAACUAUUUAGUUUGGAACAUAAUAUACGAAGUAUGUGAUAUAACGAAGCAUAAUUGGAUCAUUCCUUGAAAUUUUCCAGUGGGAAAUACAUUUUUCGGAAAAAGUAUUCGUUCGUAUGAAAGAACUAAAUUAGUCGUUAUUCAUCGAUCUGCAAACUAAUUAAUACUGCUAAAGGGGUAAUUGAAUUACACUGAUAAUACAAUGCUAUUAUCGAAUUGUUUGCUUCCUUUGAUGAGAGGAAAACAAAUGAAAAAAUACAUUCCUUCUUAUCCAAAUAAUGGAGGAGAUAUACGAACGCACGCUCCCAGUUCGCGCACGUAUUCCCGCCCACAUGGACUAGUGCGCAUGAGUGAACACAAGAGCACUGGUGCAUGAAGAGGGGUAAUAACAAAUCGUUUAAGCCGAAGGUACUUAACGCGUUGCAUACUUCUGAAGAUGGAACAAGUUGGAAUGAAAGAGGAUUCCGGAAUGAAAUCUUCUUUUCUACGCAGGAAUAUUUCCCCAAUAGAGAAAACAUUCACCUUUGAUCCACUAUCUGCGUGUACCGUCGGACAUCUCAUGGACAAACUUUCUGAACGCAAUCGAUUAUAUCCUCUUACCGAAGCAGCUUAACCUCGGAUCCUUUGCAGCGAGAUAUUUCCUAGCCUCCUACCACCGUUCGAACGUAGCUUUAUGAAACAAUACAACAUGGGAAUCGGGACGGUUCGUCGUCAUGACCAUUAAAAAUGUUUUCUUCCUAUAUCUCUUUCUGGUUAUUAUCGAUUACCUAACGAGCACGGUAUAAAAGAAGGUAUUAGGAAUAAUAAAAUAUCUCCGACCUAUCUCUAAUUCAUUGUGUGCUCUACAUGCAUGAGAUAUAUGGAUAUGUAUUUUUUUCCCCACUUUUUAAAAUUGGGCCUAUAAUGUGAAGUAUCCAGCACUGUCGAUGAAAUGUAACGAAAAACUGAAAAUUUCAAAGGACGAUUAGAUACUUCUCAUGCUGAUCACUUCGCCGAUUAUACAAAUUUUUAUUAUGGAAAAAAGAAAUCGGAAAAAACUAUUGUUUGCAUAAAUAACAUUUUCGGCCGACGUUUGACAGAUGGAAAUUACAAAUUUGGUUAAUAUUAACUCUUAAUACGGUGCGAUGAAUUAAUCGAAGCAGAAGCGUUUAUCACAAUAUACAGUAGUGUAAAGUGGAUCAUUAGAUAUGGGAGUCAAUAGGAAAUGGGAACAGUCAGUCGAAUUGAAACAGAUUGGUCCACAAACCUGUCUCCCCCCACACCAAUCUCUUGAGGAACGUUUGACCGCGGAAUAAGGAGUUUUGAUUGACUGGCCUAAAACGCAUCCCAAGAAUAACGCGAAAAGAAACAUAAAUAUAAUCAAUGUUUUUAUGUAAAUCUAUAUUCUUUUUCACUAUGUAAUAAAGAAAGAGAGAAGCUUGUUAACUUGAAUAAUACAAAUAAAACAGAAGAUAAUA
Vespula vulgaris is the source of this 9030-nucleotide long non-coding RNA. RefSeq lists it as uncharacterized. NCBI's taxonomy places the organism in Eukaryota, Metazoa, Arthropoda, Insecta, Hymenoptera, Vespidae. The transcript is spliced from 10 exons. The record is from RefSeq and is a predicted model, not a curated record.